Molecule: long non-coding RNA, 932 nt
Filed under: Homo sapiens (human)
Lineage: Eukaryota; Metazoa; Chordata; Mammalia; Primates; Hominidae
Description: HSALNT0079419
Source: RNAcentral
AAGGAAACUCACCAAAACUAGUUUGAGGAAAGAGAGAAAUUAAAUGGCGGGGCAGAGGUGAUUUCAUAGUCUCUGUGAGCAAAAGCAUAGGCAGGCCUCAUGGGACCCUGGAAAAAGAACAGAAAUACCUGCAAAUGAAGUUCCACUCUCAUUCUCUUACCGGGGGCCAUUCCUGCAUUGCACCCGCAGAUGUUGCUGCUACUCUGCAAGAAAUUUGUGGGGUUCUAACCUCUGCCUCACCAUGUGUCUGCUUCAGUUUCUUCUUUCUGCCAAGGUGGAAAGUGGCCAUCCCAACUGUACCUUUGCAGGACCCAACGCUGACCAUUGAGAGACUCUGGGUCAACUCCAAGCUGGAAUGAGAAAGAGUUGAGUCGACCUAUCCUCAAGCCCAACCAGAAUCCCUCCAUUCCCGUUUUCCUUCCCUGUUAAUCUCUCUCUUCUUCAUUAAUCUUUUCAUUGCUUCAGUAUGGUAACCCAAACUGGUGGAAAGGGGACAGAAAAUGGCACAAUCAGAAACUGAAGCCACAAAGACCUAACAUCCUAUGGAUGAGAUUAUCCAUCUGCUGGAGAGAUGACUUGAAGUGUACAGCAGAUAAGCUUAGAGGGCCUCUCCAGACCCGUCGCAAAGAUGCAAUCUGAAUGUAAUUUAAGAUAAAUAGUAAUCAUGGAAACACUAUCAUAUUAAUCACAGAAAUAAAUGCAGUCCAUGGGCUCUACGUUUGUGGAUUCAACCAACUGAGAAUUGAAAAUAUCCAGAAAAGAAAAAUGGAUGGUUCUGUCUGGACCAAACAGAAAAAAAUUUGCUCAGCAGCUGCCAGCGAGUCUCAUGAGUUUGAUUAGCCUGAACCAAUCAUCCAGAACUUCAAUGAAUUCACAGAAUUGAGCUCCUGAACCCUCAGAUCUGAAGAUCUUGGUGACCUUGUCAAGGUGCC